CUUAAUAAGGAUUGAUUCUAUCAAUAGAUAAACAAAAUUUGUUGCUCUAGUCACCAAGUCUUUGAUUUCAUUCCAUCUUGUAUUCAAAACCUUAUUUAUUCUAAAAUGAUAUGAGUUUGCACCUCUAAAAAAGGAUUAAAGACUAAUAACUUCAAUCAAAGUUUCCUCUACUAAGCAAGAAAUUCUGAUCAACACUAGUGAUGGUGAGGAUCUGGCCCAGAAGGUGCCACUCUCUCCAAUUGGUCACCAAGCAUUGACCUCUUGUGAACAUAUUCACUAUUAAUUCUCACAAUAUUUUUCAUCAUGUCACUUAAAAGUACUUCACUUCUAACCUUUUUAGUUCUCAUCAUGGUUGAGAGCUUUGGAAAAACUCUAGCCUCUGAACUCAUAAAUAAUGGAAGAAUAAUUAGGAAGAGAAACAAUGCUCUUGACACCAUUGUAGUAGCCAUAACCUUACAAAAACUCAAGUAACAAGAAUAUUCUAAAU
RNAcentral lists this long non-coding RNA (487 nucleotides) under Lathyrus oleraceus (garden pea). RNAcentral's name for it is "Pisum sativum (pea) long non-coding RNA (PSAT_LNC022123)". The record is from RNAcentral. Lineage: Eukaryota; Viridiplantae; Streptophyta; Magnoliopsida; Fabales; Fabaceae.